RNAcentral lists this ribosomal RNA (505 nucleotides) under uncultured bacterium. RNAcentral describes it as "partial 16S ribosomal RNA". It matches the Rfam family "Bacterial small subunit ribosomal RNA", at positions 28 to 507 of the family's 1533-position model. The record is from RNAcentral.
GACGAACGCUGGCGGCGUGCCUAAUACAUGCAAGUAGAACGCACAGUUUAUACCGUAGCUUGCUACACCAUAGACUGUGAGUUGCGAACGGGUGAGUAACGCGUAGGUAACCUGCCUGGUAGCGGGGGAUAACUAUUGGAAACGAUAGCUAAUACCGCAUAAUAUUAAUUAUUGCAUGAUAAUUAAUUGAAAGGAGCAAUUGCACCACUACCAGAUGGACCUGCGUUGUAUUAGCUAGUAGGUGAGGUAACGGCUCACCUAGGCGACGAUACAUAGCCGACCUGAGAGGGUGAUCGGCCUCACUGGGACUGAGACACGGCCCAGACUCCUACGGGAGGCAGCAGUAGGGAAUCUUCGGCAAUGGACGAAAGUCUGACCGAGCAACGCCGCGUGAGUGAAGAAGGUUUUCGGAUCGUAAAGCUCUGUUGUAAGAGAAGAACGGGUGUGAGAGUGGAAAGUUCACACUGUGACGGUAUCUUACCAGAAAGGGACGGCUAACUACGUG